This 74-nucleotide transfer RNA is filed under the name Bradyrhizobium quebecense. Its description in RNAcentral is "tRNA-Arg". The record is from RNAcentral. Lineage: Bacteria; Pseudomonadati; Pseudomonadota; Alphaproteobacteria; Hyphomicrobiales; Nitrobacteraceae.
GCAGGAAGUCCUGCCGGCGCAGAACCGUUGCCCUCCGAAGGCAAAGGUCGCACGUUCGAAUCGUGUCAGGUGCG